GGGGAUUUGGCUCAGUGGUAGAGCGCUUGCCUAGCAAGCGCAAGGUCCUGGGUUCCAUCCCCAGCUCCG
Molecule: transfer RNA, 69 nt
Filed under: Rattus norvegicus (Norway rat)
Lineage: Eukaryota; Metazoa; Chordata; Mammalia; Rodentia; Muridae
Rfam family: tRNA
About the family: Transfer RNA (tRNA) molecules are approximately 80 nucleotides in length.
Source: Rfam by way of RNAcentral